UAGCGAGGUUCAAAUACCAGCAGUGAGGUUAUUUCUUCAAAAUCACGUAAGUUAGAAACUACUGCCUCAAAUUCAUGCUUUUUUACACUACCAUUGUUAGAAAGGGAACUGUAGAACAUUUUUUUAUUUAAAAUCUCUAUUGCUUUUAUGCUACAGGGGUUCCGGUCAUUCAAGUAAAAGGAUUUUCUCACAACCAAAAGUAUGUACUGCUGUAAAGGUGUACUCUGUAAGAAUUAUGUGAUUGAUUAGUAGUACAUCAGUUCCUAUAACACUAGGACCCAUGAACUAGUCAACAAAUAUUUAGAAAAAAAUGUACAUACUAAUUUUUCUUCAACUUAACUAACUAAAUAUAUUCUCUUUUUGAAAUUUUGCAGCACCACUUGAUGUAGAAAAUUGGUUCGCUACUGUUUUCGGAGAGAUCGUUUGCGAAGAAGAAUUUUUAUCAGUUGUUUCUGCAAUCCAGAAGAUUACUUGUUAUAAGUAGUACAACUACUCUCAGUAUCAAUUUUCAAUCAGGAGGUUUCUGUGUUUUAUGGAGAUUUUCCCAUUGUUAAG
RNAcentral lists this long non-coding RNA (555 nucleotides) under Triticum aestivum (bread wheat). RNAcentral describes it as "long non-coding RNA (TAES_LNC022741)". The record is from RNAcentral. Lineage: Eukaryota; Viridiplantae; Streptophyta; Magnoliopsida; Poales; Poaceae.